AGCGGAUCUCUUAAAGACUGUUCUCAGUUCGGACUGCAGUCUGCAACUCGACUGCACGAAGCUGGAAUCGCUAGUAAUCGCGGAUCAGCACGCCGCGGUGAAUACGUUCCCGGGCCUUGUACACACCGCCCGUCACACCAUGGAAGUCUGCAAUGCCCGAAGCCGGUGGCCUAACCACUUAUGUGGAAGGAGCCGUCUAAGGCAGGGCAGAUGACUGGGGUGAAGUCGUAACAAGGUAGC
This 240-nucleotide ribosomal RNA is filed under the name uncultured bacterium. Its description in RNAcentral is "partial 16S ribosomal RNA". It matches the Rfam family "Bacterial small subunit ribosomal RNA", at positions 1266 to 1500 of the family's 1533-position model. The record is from RNAcentral.